Molecule: ribosomal RNA, 414 nt
Filed under: uncultured bacterium
Lineage: Bacteria
Description: bacterial SSU rRNA
Rfam family: Bacterial small subunit ribosomal RNA
Source: RNAcentral
ACGGCUCAGUAACACGUGAGGAACGUGCCCUUGACUUCGGUAUAGCUCCAGGAAACUGGUGGUAAUCCCGAAUAUGAGCCUGGCCUGCAUGGGUUGGGUUGGAAAGCUUUAUGCGGUCAGGGAUCGUCUCGCGGCCUAUCAGCUUGUUGGUGGGGUAAUGGCCUACCAAGGCAGCGACGGGUAGCCGGCCUGAGAGGGUGACCGGCCACAUUGGGACUGAGAUACGGCCCAGACUCCUACGGGAGGCAGCAGUGGGGAAUAUUGCACAAUGGGCGCAAGCCUGAUGCAGCAACGCCGCGUGCGGGAUGACGGCCUUCGGGUUGUAAACCGCUUUCAUCCAUGACGAAGCGCAAGUGACGGUAGUGGGAGAAGAAGCACCGGCUAACUACGUGCCAGCAGCCGCGGUAAUACGAU